UAAGAUUCGCCUUCUUUACUCUUACUGAGUCGUUUGUUUAUCGUCUUAAAACGUGCAAACACACACCUUCUUUACAUUUCAGAUGUAAUUAAUGUGAUUCUAGGUGAAGAAUAUGUUCUUAAUCUGAUCCACAGCAACAUAAACCUGCUGGCAUGAAGUUCCCUCUGCUUGACUUUGUUUUGACUCACGCCUCAUGUGGAACGUCAUGAAGUUAAAGACAUCCCAAGAACCAGACAGGAAGUGAGAAGUGUGCCAGCCAGUGCAUUCCGUUUAUUUCAAAAUAAAACUUGUGUUGCAUCUUUCCGUC
Nothobranchius furzeri (turquoise killifish) is the source of this 307-nucleotide non-coding RNA. Lineage: Eukaryota; Metazoa; Chordata; Actinopteri; Cyprinodontiformes; Nothobranchiidae. The record is from RefSeq and is a predicted model, not a curated record.